Molecule: unclassified non-coding RNA, 168 nt
Filed under: uncultured Sebacina
Lineage: Eukaryota; Fungi; Basidiomycota; Agaricomycetes; Sebacinales; Sebacinaceae
Description: sequence contains ITS1
Source: RNAcentral
AUGAAUUUCAAGUCGGUUGAUUGUGCUGGCGGCAACGCACGUGCACGUCGAUUGCAAACCCAAUCCACACACCUGUGAACGUACGGCCUCGGAGUUUACUCUCGGGGCACACCAUUUUUACCUACUCUGUAAUAGAAUGUGACCUGUGCCAAAAGCGCAAAAACUUAA